UUUUUUUUUUCAAUUUUCUUGUAUAACUUUCUUAUAUAGAUACACCUAAGUGAACACUAAAUAAAUAUUGAAAAAAAAUUAUCACAUUUUACCAAGAGGUUAAAUGUUAUAUGCUUUAGUCGUGUAAGGUCGGUCUGAACAAAGUAGAAUAAAAUAUAUAUACAAAACAGAAAAAAAAUCGUACCCUCACGAUUGUAGCAUGGUAGUCUUUAAGGGUUUUAACAACAAUGAAAUGCAUAUUACACUUUACUACAUUUUCUUCCCCUUAGCUCCUGCAUUUUGAUGAGGUUGGGAGAAGAUAUUUAAAGGUGUUUAAAAGUCAAAAACCACUAGCUCAAUUCCACAA
This is a non-coding RNA of Cinara cedri, 346 nucleotides long. Lineage: Eukaryota; Metazoa; Arthropoda; Insecta; Hemiptera; Aphididae. The record is from the annotation of a GenBank genome assembly.